This 230-nucleotide ribosomal RNA is filed under the name uncultured bacterium. Its description in RNAcentral is "partial 16S ribosomal RNA". It matches the Rfam family "Bacterial small subunit ribosomal RNA", at positions 562 to 791 of the family's 1533-position model. The record is from RNAcentral.
AAAGCGUGCGCAGGCGGUUUUGUAAGUCUGUCGUGAAAUCCCCGGGCUCAACCUGGGAAUGGCGAUGGAGACUGCAAGGCUAGAAUCUGGCAGAGGGGGGUAGAAUUCCACGUGUAGCAGUGAAAUGCGUAGAGAUGUGGAGGAACACCGAUGGCGAAGGCAGCCCCCUGGGUCAAGAUUGACGCUCAUGCACGAAAGCGUGGGGAGCAAACAGGAUUAGAUACACCGGU